UGGGGAAUAUUGGACAAUGGGCGAAAGCCUGAUCCAGCCAUGCCGCGUGUGUGAAGAAGGUCUUCGGAUUGUAAAGCACUUUAAGUUGGGAGGAAGGGCAGUAAGCGAAUACCUUGCUGUUUUGACGUUACCGACAGAAUAAGCACCGGCUAACUCUGUGCCAGCAGCCGCGGUAAUACAGAGGGUGCAAGCGUUAAUCGGAAUUACUGGGCGUAAAGCGCGCGUAGGUGGUUCGUUAAGUUGAAUGUGAAAGCCCCGGGCUCAACCUGGGAACUGCAUCCAAAACUGGCGAGCUAGAGUAGGGCAGAGGGUGGUGGAAUUUCCUGUGUAGCGGUGAAAUGCGUAUAUAUAGGAAGGAACACCAGUGGCGAAGGCGACCACCUGGGCUCAUACUGACACUGAGGUGCGAAAGCGUGGGGAGCAAACAGG
Molecule: ribosomal RNA, 429 nt
Filed under: Pseudomonadota bacterium
Lineage: Bacteria; Pseudomonadati; Pseudomonadota
Description: Proteobacteria bacterium partial 16S ribosomal RNA
Rfam family: Bacterial small subunit ribosomal RNA
Source: RNAcentral